RNAcentral lists this long non-coding RNA (445 nucleotides) under Homo sapiens (human). RNAcentral's name for it is "HSALNT0330649". Lineage: Eukaryota; Metazoa; Chordata; Mammalia; Primates; Hominidae. The record is from RNAcentral.
CAUUGGUUUCCUUACCUAUGGAGUGAGGGCUAUUAUGGUGGAAAAGGCCAAGUAGAAGCCACUAGAACUAUCUGUACUUAGGAAAAUAGUAAACCAAAAGCAAUGCUCAAUUCCUAUAGGGACUGAAGAGAUUAGUGCCACCAUAAGUACUUGAAGGAAGGCGGGGUGGUGAUUCCUACCAUAUGUCCAUUCAACUCGCCUAUUUAGCCUGGGCAGAAGACAGAUGGAUUAUCACAAACUUAACUAGGUGGUGACUCCAAUUGCAGCUACAGUACCAGAUGUAUUGCUUGAGCAAAUUAACACAACUCCUGGUUCCUGGUAUGCAGCUACCUGGAAUCUUGAUUGCCUUUUCUUUCCACAUCACAUUGGUCCAUUACAUUGACGACAUUAUGCUCACUGGACCUAAUGAGUGAGACAUAGCAACUACUCCAGACCUAUUGCUUUU